AGCAGCCGCGGUAAUUCCAGCUCCAAUAGCGUAUAUUAAAGUUGUUGCAGUUAAAAAGCUCGUAGUUGAAUUUCGGGAUUAAUAUGUUGGUCGUGCCUUGGUACGUACUGGCAUUAUUGAUUCCUACCUUCUGAAGAACCUCGAUGUCAUUAAUUUGGUGUCUUGGGGAAUCAGGACCGUUACUUUGAAAAAUUAGAGUGUUUAAAGCAGGCUCGCGCUUGAAUACAUUAGCAUGGAAUAAUGAAAUAGGACGUUUGAUUCUAUUUUGUUGGUUUCUAGGAUCGACGUAAUGAUUAAUAGGGAUAGUUGGGGGCAUUAGUAUUCAAUUGUCAGAGGUGAAAUUCUUGGAUUUAUUGAAGACUGACUACUGCGAAAGCAUUUGCCAAGGAUGUUUUCAUUAAUCAAGAACGAAAGUUAGGGGAUCGAAGACGAUCAGAUACCGUCGUAGUCUUAACCAUAAACUAUGCCGACUAGGGAUCGGAUGAUGUUAAUUUUUAAUGACUCAUUCGGCGCCUUACGG
This 520-nucleotide unclassified non-coding RNA is filed under the name uncultured Glomus. Its description in RNAcentral is "SSU rRNA". It matches the Rfam family "Eukaryotic small subunit ribosomal RNA", at positions 569 to 1093 of the family's 1831-position model. The record is from RNAcentral. Lineage: Eukaryota; Fungi; Glomeromycota; Glomeromycetes; Glomerales; Glomeraceae.